Molecule: RNA transcript, 6572 nt
Organism: Hippopotamus amphibius kiboko
Lineage: Eukaryota; Metazoa; Chordata; Mammalia; Artiodactyla; Hippopotamidae
Gene: DFFB
Gene name: DNA fragmentation factor subunit beta
Exons: 7
Source: RefSeq, a predicted model, not a curated record
GACGGUCUUCUCCUGGGCUCACGUAGCAUCUGUAAACCUUCUUGUGAAGGGUCUUUUGUCCAUUGUCUAAUUGGAUGUUUUUACGGUUGAGUUCUGCGACUUUUUCCCUGGUGUAUUCUGGGUGAGUCUUUGUCAGAUGUGCCGCUGGAGGAUAUUUUCUCCCCGUCUGCAGCUUGUGUUUUUUGUUCUCUUAACUGGGUCUUUCAUGGAGUAAAACUUUUUAAUUUUGAUGAAGCCCAACGUGUCCCUUCUUAUUCUCCUCCGCGUAUGCUUUUGACGUUUGGUCUGAGACCUUUUCACCAAGCUCUAGGUCUUGAAGAUGUUCUCUGUCUUUCUGUACCAGUUGCUGUGAUCCUGUGACUUUUUGUGUGAGGGUGGAUGACACUGAUUGAUGUUUGAACCGCUAGUGGCCCUGCAUCCCUGGAAGGACCCUCGGGGCCUGUUCCUCGUGUGUUUCUGGACUUCUGUUUGUAGGAUGUUGUGAAGCCCUUGGUUCCGAGUGCCUGCUCGGAGGGCUUAGUGCCUUUGGGCGUGUGUGGAAAGGCCCUGGGAGCCCACAGGACAGUGAGGGGACGACCUGGAGCAUGAGGUCUCAAGGGAGGUGCCAGGACGAGGCGAUUUCACUUGGAGGAUGGAAGCGUGAGGGGAAGGGUGGCCACUCGCUUGGGUGGCUUUCGUCUUCCGAAUCGUAUCCCGUGUCCUUCCCUUCUGUCCUUAUAUCACCCGGGUGUGGGUGGCCAGACCCAAGGCCCGGAGCCCCGGGCUGCUGGCUGUCGGGGGUGGGGUGGGGGUGUCUGGCCAGUCCCCAGGGAGGAGGCGGUCUCCCCGAGGCCGCGCUGCAAGGCCUGGUGGCCUCUGUGUCCCCUCCGGUGGCAGACGUGAGUGACAUCAGCCGCUUCCUGAGCGUGUUGCAGGAGCCGCACGCGGGCCUCAUCCAGGCGGCCCGGCAGCUGCUCUCCGACGAGCGGGCCCCGAUGCGGCAGAAGCUCCUGGCCGACCUGCUGGGCACUGUCAGCGAGAACAUCGCGGCCGAGACCAGGGCCGAGGACCCACCGUGGUUCGAAGGCUUGGAGUCCCGGUUCAGGAACAAGUCUGGCUACCUGAGAUACAGCUGCGAGAGCCGGAUCCGGAGCUACCUGAGAGAGGUGACGUCUGGUGCCUCCCUGGCACGCGCGGAGGCCCGGGAGGAGUACCUGCGGGUCGUGGGCGCCAUGGGCCAGAGGCUGCAGGCCGCCCGGUACAACAGCAGCUACUUCGACCGCUGGGCGAAGGCCGGCCGCCGGCUCUGCACGCGCGAAGGGUGGUUCUCCUGCCAGCAGCUCCAGUGGGGCCUGAGAGCCUGCGUUUCUGACAAGUUCCCGGGAUGCUGGUGCUGGUUCAGGGUCCACUCCCCCCGAGAACUGCCGUGGGUGGGGCAGGACACAAGUGCUCGGCCCUUUCGACCUGGACGACUGCACCUCCAGACACUCCAUCAACCCCUACAGCAACAGGGAGAGCCGUGUCCUCUUCAGCACCUGGAACCUGGACCACGUCUCCCGCCUGUGGGUGGAUCGGUGGCCGGCGGCCGCGGGCCCAGUCAGCGAGUCCCAGGUGCCGCUGUGUGGGUCCCUGCCUCUCCCAGGCUGCGGGAGCUCUGGGCGUUUCCUGCUUCAACCAGCGUGAGCACGUCUUGGCCAGCAGGAUCGUUUUUCUGUGUCAUUAGCUCAUUCAAAAAAAGGGGCAGAAAUGGAAAACAUUAACUGAGACGCUUUUCUUGUUGACCGCUGAGCAGCGUGGGGUUUGGACUGCGUGGGUCCACUUACACGUGGAGUUUUCCAGUAGGAAAUACUAUGGUACUGCUCCAUCCGCAGGGGUUGAAUCCACACACACGGAACCUUGGAUGUGGAGGGAGCCUGCACGCAGGGGGCCCCCUGUGAAGUUAUGUGUGGAUUUUUUUGAAAAAGAAAUUCUCCUGUGGCAGCUCAUUUGCCCGGGUACCAGGAAGGUUGAAUGUCCACGUGUUAACUGGCCAUUUGUGUUCUGUGAAGGGGCUGUCGCUUCCUUUGCUCAUUUUUUUACUGGGCUUUGGUCUCCUAAUUAAUAUGUAGGAAUUCCUUACACGUCCUGGAUACUAGUUCUUUGGUGGCUCUUUGUGUUAUGGAUAUGUUUUUACAGUUUGGGCUUGUCUUUCGCUCCUGGGAUGUCUUUGAUCACGAGGGGUUUACGUGCCAGUGUACUGAGACGUACCCCUCCUUUUUUUGUGCGACAUCCUUCCCUCCCUCGUAUCAUGAAGAUAUCCCAUUUUUUUCUCUGCUGAUUGAUUGGCUGCGCCGCUUCUGACCUGCCUGGAGCACCCCGAGAUGAUCUUGGGGCUCCAGGCCAUCUGUCUGCUCCUGUCUUUUCAUGACCCGCUAGGGGCCCCCGCCAGCACCUGAGAAGUGAGACAGGCUGGCCUAGAACAGGACAGGGAUGAAGCGGCGGCAUGUGAGCGGAGCCUGAGUCAUGCCUCCUGGAACCUACCAGUUACAUUUUUGCUCUUUUUCUGAAUAUGUGUACGUUCACAUAGAUGCACACACUGGCUUUUAAUUUAAAAUGCAGUUUUGACCAGGAGGCAGCAGGGUUUGAAAACACUGGUCUGAUUGUUUUCCUGAGACGUGACUGCAGGCCCUCCCUGAGUCUGGUGGGACUGAAGCCACGAGCCACGUGUUUAAGUAGUUGAACACUAAAGAGUAUAGCACGUGCUGUCGUCCCACCGGGACUGUGUCUCCGCGGCCCAGGCCGGGUUCCCGGUCCCAGCUGGUGGACUUCUCAGGGCUCUGGGAUGUGGCUGUGGUGGCCUGCAGUCCACAGCCUGCCCUCUUCUCCCACCCCUUGGGCCCCUCACACCAUGAGUGCUGCACCCACGUGUGUCCAGGCUUAGGGUGUGCAGCGGGGCACGGCCUGUCCCGGGAGGCCAUCCCGAGCCUGAGUUCUGGGAGCGUGGGCUGGGAGGCGGGGCGGGGGUCCUGGGCCCAGAGGCCUCCUCCCCACAGCGGGGCCCCCAGGAGCACGGGGCCUGUUCCCCAAGGGCUAAGGGCGCCUCCUCCCACGCUCAGUGUUGUGACAGGCCCUCUUGUCUGGGACCAGCACUUCCCCACCCCCUUCAAAACCAUCCUUGGGCUUUUCCUUAACUUCAUUCACUUGGCUUUUAUUUUUCAUCCCUUCUUUCUACUUUUUGGAGUUUCUUUUUGCUUAUCGGUUAACCUGCAUCUCUCUUGUCUUCUAACGUACAUUUCAGGCUAUCCGUUUCCGCUUUCGCUGCUUCCUGUGAGUUUGGUGAUUUUGUUGUCAUCCAGGGCUGGCGGCUUUGUCUUUUCCAUCGUGAUCUUAUCACUGCUCCGUGAGCUGUGAGACGUGGCACUUGUCUUCAGUGGCGCCGGGUUCUUAGUUGCCUCUCCUGGGCCGCUCGCUGCCGUGGUCACUCAUGCCUCCUCCGAGCCUGAGUGCACGUGGCCUCAGAUCCACGUGGCCUCAGAUCUGCGUGGCUGGAUUUAAGCCGCUCUGCUGGCUUCCCGCCCCUUUCCUGUCGACCUUGACGUGUCCUUAGGUUUGCGUGAGUGUCCCACUGGCCGUGUCAUUGCUCUUGUUCCGCGGGGUCCGGGACGGUCUGAUCCGAGUUGAUGCCCAUGUGGUGCCGGCCGUGCUCUCUGCCAGCACCGGGCUCGGCCAGGUCAGGGGUGUUGGCACAGUCCCAGCGUCUUCCCGGUGUCGGGACAGCAUCUGGCUGCCGCGGCCGUUCACCCAGUGUUGGUUGAGUAAAUAGGAAAUGUGUUUGGGCUUCUUUAACUCUUUAUUCUGGGUUCCCAGUCCCUGUACCCGCCCUUCCCAUUGGGUCUCCUUUGUGCUUUCUGUGAGCUUAAACCAGGUGUCUUUUCCCCUUGCCCAUCACCCCACACUUUGGUGGCUCGGGAAAUAGAUGUUUGCGUGUGUUCCCUUAGUGGGGCCCCAGAGUGAAGCCCAUCGGAAGCAGAAUCGCAUCUGCCUCGCCCCCAGGCCCCGGGGAUCACGUUGGUGUCCCCCCCACCCACCGUGAACCGUGCACCAAGCGCGGGCGCGUUCCCCGGGGCGGGUCCUCGCUCUCGCUCGCCCACAGGUCUCAGGUUGCACGGAGCUCAGGCUCGCUCCCUGAUGGCCGUGAGGGUCUUUGGGGUCUGCGCCCCCCGGUCGUAGAAGGGCCCCGAGUGCUUGUCAAGCUGACGGGGCUGCAGGCGGCGGCCACUUGGCCUGCAGCGCUCUGGGGAUACGCCGCCUGUCUCCUGGCGUCUGUUCACAAGGCUGCCGUCCGUCUCCUCUCCUUUUCUGUGGCAGCUUUAGACCUCCUCUUUGAAAAGGCCAUGUAUCCAGCACAGAUCUCUAUUCUAAAUUCUGACCGGGACUUGCAUCCUCUGCUCCAAAGACGUGUCUGUCUUCAAUCCUGGAAACUCUCCGGCGGGGAUUCUCUGGCUGCCCGCGUGUACCUGGACCAGCCCGUGCUGCGUCUGCUCUUACGCAUUCCCACUCCUGGGGACUUCCUGCCGUGGACUGAACUGUGUCCCCCAGGUUCAUAUGCUGAAGCCCUAACCCCAGGGUGACCGUGCUGGGGUCGGAAGGGUGGAGCCCUGAUCUGAUAGGACUGUGGUCUCCUAAGAAGAGAGGCUCUGCACCAUGUGAGGACACAGCUGGGGGCAGCCGUCUGCGAGCAGGGAAGACUCUUCUCGCCAGAACCCGACCACGCUGGCGCCCUGGUCUCAGAACCCCAGCCUCCAGGAUGGUGACAUAACUGGUCUCUGUUGUUUAAGGCACCCAGUCUAUGGUAUUUUGUUACGGUGGCCCAAGGUGACUAAUACGCUUCCUAUACGUUCACUUCUCUCUUCAGCUCUGAUGCAUUCAGUCUGUGUUUUUAGCAUUGAGUACGUAUUAUUUCCUUUCUAUGAGCGCUUCUGGGUUAUUUUUAAAAACAUGUCUUUUUGUGGCAGCCUGCUCUCAUUAUUUAUUUUUAUUUCAUCAUUUAUUUUAAGCAAAGUUAUCUCAUGGUUAUGUGGUAAAGACCUUAACUGUGCAGAGAGAGGUCUGGCCUUUGCCCCUGACCCCUGGGAGGUCAGCUCUGAGCCCUCGGAGUGUCUUGCAUGCUAGUGUCUCUGUUUGCCUAGUGGCGGGGCUGGGGGGUCACCAGGCAGUCUAGCAGUAUGAGUCGGGUGGGGGCUUUGGGUCACGUGGUUUCAGCUCGCCCUCUGGGGGCUGGAGAUGGGGUCCGCCUGGGGGUGGUCAGUUGUGCCCAUGUGGCAGAGGCCCGGGAGAGACUCUGGACGCCGAGGCUCAGGGAGGGAACUGUCUGCUGCUUCUCCGGGUGUGCUGUCACCACCACUGCUGGGAGCACUGUCCGCGCCCCCGGGAGAGCGCGGCUGGAGCUGCCCUGGCCUUUGCCCGGCGCGUGCCUGACUUGGGAUGAUUUUAGUGCGCAUCCUUUCGUGGCUGUGAGCCACGACUGUAAGUAUAAAAGCUCUCAGGGCCUUCUGUGCCUUUCAGUGAGCUGCGGACCCUGAGCGUGGCCUCGGGGCCCCGAGCUCUGCAGGUGGCGGCAGAGGGCAUGGUCUGUGUCAGGUCCCUGGGGGUUCUGGAGGCGCUGCCGUAGGCAGUGUCCUCCCGCAUGUUGCAGUGCAUCCCCUGUGCAGUUUGUGUGUCCGGGUUGUGAGCUCGCUCCCGGUGGGGGUUGUUUUCUACAGACGGCCCUCGGUGCUGCGCAUCCACGUGUCCCCAGCGGUUCUGCGUGUUUCCGCCAGGCGCCCGGGCUCUCAGACACUGCGUGUUGGUUCCUGCUCGCGGUUCCCGUACCGCUUGCAGCGUAAUGUUGGACGUAUGGGAGGUGGGUCCUGGUUUUCCACAUGACUGAGGACAGUCACGCUGAUGGCACCCCCUGAACGGCACCUGUGGGUGUCCUUACCUCGCCCCCCUACCCCACGCUGUGCCGAGCUGGGCCUCGUGCCUCCAGCAGACAGCAAGCCGGGGAGGCCUGGCCAGGGUCACACAUGGGUGUGUCCUCUUUGAAGGCCGCCUCACCACGCCAGGGAGCCCGACCGGCCUCCCAGGGGCUGAAAGACCCCGUGGGGAGAUGGGCAGCCCCUGGCCGACCCCCUGGCAGAGCGCAGCCCCGUGAGCGGGCCAGGCCGACCCGCAGAACCACUGCGUUUCGGGGGCCGGCUGUGCAGCCGGGGGUUAUCCAUACAGAGGCUUCUCCUUCCUCCUCGCAAAGCCCUGGACCCCCUGCAGCGUCUCUGCUCCUCCCCUCAUGGCUGGGGCGGGGGUCUCGGCCCCUCCCCUCCUGGCCCUCGUGGGCCCCUGGGGCCUCCAUCAGGACCGGAGCCCCAGUGAGCCGUGGCGUGCGGCUCAGCGCUGUGGUCCAGCGUUGGUGUCUGUGUCUGCAGAGGGGAGCCGCCUUCUUUCUUUUACUUUCAGAAUAGAAAAGAAGCGCACGGUCGUCCCCACCCUGGCCGCGGCCGUCCAUGACGCCAAGGGGAGAGAGGUGGACUGGGAGUACUUCUACCGCCUGUUCUUCACCGCCGAGAACCUCAAGUUGG